UGGGGAAUCUUGGACAAUGGGGGCAACCCUGAUCCAGCAAUGCCGCGUGGGUGAAGAAGGCCUUCGGGUUGUAAAGCCCUUUCGGCAGGGAAGAAAUCGGCGGGGCGAAUAACCCUGCUGGAUGACGGUACCUGCAGAAGAAGCACCGGCUAACUACGUGCCAGCAGCCGCGGUAAUACGUAGGGUGCGAGCGUUAAUCGGAUUUACUGGGCGUAAAGCGUGCGCAGGCGGCCCGUUAAGACAGGUGUGAAAUCCCUGGGCUCAACCUAGGAAUUGCGCUUGUGACUGGCGGGCUCGAGUACGGUAGAGGGGGGUGGAAUUCCUGGUGUAGCAGUGAAAUGCGUAGAGAUCAGGAGGAACACCGAUGGCGAAGGCAGCCCCCUGGGCCUGUACUGACGCUCAUGCACGAAAGCGUGGGGAGCAAACAGG
RNAcentral lists this ribosomal RNA (429 nucleotides) under uncultured bacterium. RNAcentral describes it as "bacterial SSU rRNA". It matches the Rfam family "Bacterial small subunit ribosomal RNA", at positions 355 to 776 of the family's 1533-position model. The record is from RNAcentral. RNAcentral also lists the same sequence under 1 other name.